Molecule: transfer RNA, 76 nt
Filed under: Acidobacteriota bacterium
Lineage: Bacteria; Pseudomonadati; Acidobacteriota
Also listed under: 4 other names
Description: Acidobacteria bacterium tRNA-Ala
Rfam family: tRNA
About the family: Transfer RNA (tRNA) molecules are approximately 80 nucleotides in length. Their secondary structure includes four short double-helical elements and three loops (D, anti-codon, and T loops).
Source: RNAcentral
GGGCCAGUGGCGCAGAUGGGAGCGCGCGUGAAUGGCAUUCACGAGGUCACCGGUUCGAUCCCGGUCUGGUCCACCA